This 502-nucleotide ribosomal RNA is filed under the name uncultured bacterium. RNAcentral's name for it is "bacterial SSU rRNA". It matches the Rfam family "Bacterial small subunit ribosomal RNA", at positions 25 to 518 of the family's 1533-position model. The record is from RNAcentral.
CAGAACGAACGCUGGCGGCGCGUUUAAGCAUGCAAGUCGAGCGGCAAGGGCCUUCGGGCCCCUAGAGCGGCGGACGGGUGAGUAACACGUGGACAAUCUGCCCCCCGGCCCGGGAUAGCCCAGGGAAACCUGGAUUAAUACCGGAUGAGACGGGACCCGCGAUGGCGGGACCCGGGAAGGCGCUGCAGCGCCGCCGGGGGAUGAGUCUGCGUCCCAUUAGCUAGACGGCGGGGUAACGGCCCACCGUGGCGACGAUGGGUAGCCGGCCUGAGAGGGUGGACGGCCACAUUGGAGCUGAGACACGGUCCAGACUCCUACGGGAGGCAGCAGCUAAGAAUCUUCCGCAAUGGGCGAAAGCCUGACGGAAGCGACGCCGCGUGAACGAAGAAGGCCGUGAGGUUGUAAAGUUCUUUUCGGGAGGGGGAACAACCGUGGCAGGGAAUGGCCGCGGGAUGACGUGAAUCCCGGAAUAAGCCCCGGCUAACUACGUGCCAGCCGCCGC